Molecule: ribosomal RNA, 250 nt
Filed under: Brevundimonas subvibrioides
Lineage: Bacteria; Pseudomonadati; Pseudomonadota; Alphaproteobacteria; Caulobacterales; Caulobacteraceae
Description: partial 16S ribosomal RNA
Rfam family: Bacterial small subunit ribosomal RNA
Source: RNAcentral
UCUCAGUUCGGAUUGUCCUCUGCAACUCGAGGGCAUGAAGUUGGAAUCGCUAGUAAUCGCGGAUCAGCAUGCCGCGGUGAAUACGUUCCCGGGCCUUGUACACACCGCCCGUCACACCAUGGGAGUUGGUUCUACCCGAAGGCGAUGCGCUAACCCGCAAGGGAGGCAGUCGACCACGGUAGGGUCAGCGACUGGGGUGAAGUCGUAACAAGGUAGCCGUAGGGGAACCUGCGGUUGGAUCACCUCAUAA